RNAcentral lists this ribosomal RNA (295 nucleotides) under Stygamoeba regulata. RNAcentral's name for it is "partial Bacterial large subunit ribosomal RNA". It matches the Rfam family "Bacterial large subunit ribosomal RNA", at positions 816 to 1126 of the family's 2925-position model. The record is from RNAcentral. Lineage: Eukaryota; Discosea; Stygamoebida.
UAGGGGUGAAAGGCCAAUCAAACUUAGAGAUAGCUGGUUUUCUACGAAAUCUAUUUAAGUAGAGCAUUGUUUUUAAUUUUUAAAGGUAAAGCACUAAAUUAAAUCAUUAGAUUUAAAAAAACUCAGAAUGUUAAAAAUAUUUAAUAACAAUAGACAGGCUUUAGGCGCAAAGGUCUAAAGCCUAAAGGGAAAAAGCCCAGAUUAUAAGCUAAGGUUUUAAAAUAAAAUUAAGUGAAAAAAGUUUGAUUAAAUUUAAAACAAUUAAGAGGUGGGCUUAGAAGCAGCCAUCCUUUAA